CAGGUUAGUCUUUAGGGGGAUUUCGUUUACAUUGAAAUUAUUGUCGUGCAAUUCGAUAUAACUUGA
Molecule: transfer RNA, 66 nt
Filed under: Byrsotria cabrerai
Lineage: Eukaryota; Metazoa; Arthropoda; Insecta; Blattodea; Blaberidae
Description: tRNA-Val
Source: RNAcentral